AGAAAGUAUCUAGACUGAUCCUCUCAUUUUACAAAGGGUGGCAAUGAGGUGGCCCAGGGAUGGGCAGGAAUGGGCCUGCCCAAAGCUUCCUGACAUGGCAAUCUCAUGCCACCUUGCAUCCAGCCAAGGAAAUACUGGACACUACAGAGGCCUGUAUGCUCAGUCAACCUGGCACCAUCGGGUCCCCCAGAGACUCAUAGAGUAUCCAGGGCAGUGGGUAUGCCCCUCUCCCUUACCCAUCCCACUCUGUUCCAGGCACGCCAUCCCUCCUUGUUCCUGACUCUUGACUACGUCCUUGUUUAUCCUCUCACCUCUGGUUCGGUCUCCCAACUCAUCAUUUCUCUCUCUCACUCCCUCUCUCACUCACCUUCUCGCUCUCACUCUCUCGCUCUCCUCAGAUUUACCAGGCUGGCUAUUUCUACUUCUGACACUUUGCCCUAGUUGGGGCCUAGAGACCCAGCCCCCAGCCCCAGCUCCUACCCACUGGCCAGUGCCCAGAAGGAUCAUGGCAGGACCCAGACACACAUGUUCACGUGGCCAGUAGAUCCCAGUUACAGGCAGUAGAACGUGGGUGAGUAGCAACAGUGUACGGCUCCAUGACAAGCACAGGUAGCCUAGCUGUGUAGCAAUGGGUCACUCUUCCAUAGCAACCAAACAAAAUUACAUAGCAAUGGAUGAACUCAAGCGACCAUGAGGCACAGUGACAAGCAAUCGAACGUGGCCGCGGAGCAGUGGAGUGUCGUUGCAUAACAAUAGACCCAGCCGUAGAAGCAUGUCACACAGCCCUGCACCGCAGGAGGGUGCAAUCACGGGAAUGAGUACGGAGCACAGUGUGGAAGACGUGGGCAGACAUACAGAGUAGUAGCACUGGGACACAACUGAGUAGCAAUGGCACGGUCACAGUGUGUGUGGCUCCUGGACAUGCGGCCAGGGAGCGGUGGCCGGCAGCAGGUCCCAGGGCUGGAGCAGCAGGCGCCAGCGACAUGGCAGUGGUUGAGUUGUAGUCAAAUGAAGAACCGCCUCCCUCACGCUGGGCCGUUGUCUCCGGCUGAGCCUCUUGGCCUCCCCUGAUUUCAGGAGUGUGUUUGUCUAUAUCCAGUCUCAUCAUGCAUUCCCCGGAGCCCAAAAAACAAUUUUAUCUCUGAUUCCCUUCAGAUCCGACUUCAGCUUAAUAGGAAAUUGAACAUUUUCUGGAGAGAAAAGCGCUCUGGGAAUAGAUGAGAGUGGAGAAGAGGAGGUCUAUGCCUCUCUGUGCAAUGCUGCCUGCUGCCCCUGGCCCUGCCUGUCCCAUCCCCAUGGCUCACUAAGCCCACUGUGGCUCCCUGUCCCUGGAUGUGCCCUUGAUCUACCUCAUUCCCAGACUGCAACCCAACCAUUUCUUCUCACCUUGGAACACUUCGUUUUGAUGCAGGCCUUUCAAGUUCCAUUUGGUCAACAUGGUACAAAACUCUGGUCCUGGGUGGGCCCAUCAAGGUCAAGGUCCCAUGGGUAUGGUCUUGGGUCAAGUGUAGGGCCUCAGGCAGAGGUAGAGGAAGCCUUAUCUCCCGUCUGAGUAGCUCAGGAAGCCAUUGGGAAGAGGUGAGCCUUUAAGUGAGUGUGAAGAGUGAGGUGUUAAGGUUCAUCCUGAACAUGGCAACUCCCCAAAUAGUCAACAGCCUGCAAGCAUCUGCCCUCCACUCUCUGGGCACCCUGAGCCCAUCUCACACGGAGCCAGGCCAUGCCUCCUGACGCCAGGAGGGGAGCAGGUAAGGCGAGGGGGCUCUAUGCCACCUCUAGAUGGACCGACUUCCUCCACAAAGGGCUUCUGAAACACCUGCCAUGUGCCUGGACUCCCCAUUCCUCCAGCCUGUCAGAAAACCAGAACUCUCCACCCUGCCAUGUGCCCAGCCCUGUGUCCAGCUGGGGCAGGGACAUGGGGACAAAGAGGCCAAGGACCUCAGCUCUGAGAAUUCCCCAGUGGACAGGAGCAAGCCAUACCCGGGGAGACGAUUAGUGGCACAGAGUAGGCACACAGUAAAUAUUUGGUGGGGGAUGAACAGGCAAAGGAGGGGCAUGGUUGGGACAAUGUAGCUUUUUAACUGCCACACUUACCCAGCACUCCUGGACACACCUAGUGAGCCCUUAGUGAAUGAGAGAGAGCUGGGGAGGUGGUGGAUAGGGGGAGAGGCAGGCAAGGAAGUCUUCCUGGAGGAGGCAGACUAUGCUUUGGAUAAAGAAAGGCAGAUGUGCUCAUUUACUAUGGAAGAAUUGUGUAUUCAGUGUUGUUUCCAGCACAGAAAUUCAAGCACAGGGUUGCUUCCCUCCUCUUCCUGUCUCUCUCCCUGUCUCUCCUGCUCUCUCUCGCUCUCUCUCUUUUUCUCCCUCCCCCCUCUCUCUCUCCACCUCUCUCUCCUUCUCUCUCUCUCUGCCUCCUCUGUUUCCCUCCCUCCUUCUGCCUUGCUCAGAGGAGAUUUGUGGCAGACCAGAGGGCCCUCAUACCAGGAGAUGAAUAAUUGACAAGGGUUGUUAAAAGAUUCAGUGGAGUUUUUCCAACCUCCUUACACUGGAAUAACUCAUUUCUUUCAUUCUGUUUUUGAAAGCCUUUCCCCCUCCCUCCACCUGUCUCCUCCACAUCCCCGCCCCCUCUGAGCAUACCGCUUUUGUUUCUCUUCCUUUCUUGAGUCUGCUGGACCCUAGAAUGAUUCGGCCUUAAUCCCUCGGUUUCUCUAAAUCCCCUUCCCCAGCUGUCCCCACCCCACUUGCCGUGCUCCGGAGGUGUAGGUUGACUUCAGCAGAGACAGCCCCAGAUCAUGAGUGCAGAGAGGAAGGAGGACCAGGGAAGCUGUGGCCUCUCCCAAGUCCCAGUGUGCCAGAGGUGGGCUCGGUCCUCAGAAAGGCAAGCCUCCCAGCACAGGGACCCCUUUCCUCGCAGGCAGGCGGAGGGGUGCUCUGGGGACGCUGGGUGACCAUGUGCCUUGGUUUCUCCAUCUUAGCAUGCUGCUUACCCUACCCUACCUGCCUCUCAGGAUCAGAUGGGAGAGGUGAGGCCCCCCAGAAAGGGCGGCUGGCCGUGUAGCAGAGACACCCUGAGCCUAGUCCUUUCUGUCCGGCUGGCAUGGCCCUGGGGUGACCACCCAUCCCUGUCUGUCCAGGACUGACGGGUUUCCAGACUAUGAGGUGUUCAGUGCUUAAACCAAGACAGUCCUAGGCAAACCUGGAUGGGGGCCACCCUACAUGGCACAGAAACCUCCCCUGUCCCAGGUCUGCCCCACUGGAGGUUGCCACACUCUCUACCCUGUCAGCCUCCCUCAUCCACAGGGCAUACUCCCCCUGCCCAGUCUGGCCCAGCUCCGUGCUGUCCAUGCACUCAUAGUGCUCCCACUGCUCCUGCAAGUGACCUUGACCUUCCUUCCCUUCUCUGGGCCCCAGUUCCUGCCUCUGACAGCACAGGCGGUUGGAGCAGAUGUUCCUGAGUGCCCUGAGGCUCCUGCACUGUGGCUGCAGCCUUGGUCCUGCCCCCAGACCCACACCCAGGAUGGGGUCUGCAGCCUGGUGAGGCCGACAGCAGAGCAGUCAGACCCGGCCUCCACUCCUCAGCACCACCUGGUGGCAGGUGAUUAACUCUGAGCAGGAGUCUUUUGAGGCUGCCAGCAGCAGUCACCAGGGAAGGGACUUGGAGCACCCCUGCACACUACCCACUUUGGUGGCAACAAGCAGCAGGAACGUCAGCCUAGGGUGGUGACAUUGCAAAGCCCCGGGAGCCUGGGAUUGGCCCCCAGGAGCAGGAAUAAGCAGCCCCCCCAGGGCCACUAGUUCAGGCACCAAGCCCAGCCUGGGAGCAGGGUCACCCAGGGUCUGGGAGUACGAGAGGGCCCAGGCCCCAGGUCCUUUGGAACCAAGAGAGGCUGAGGAACUACAAGAGAAACAGGGAGUGAGACAGAGACAGAGAGCAGAGCCAACCAGGGCCCACCCAACGGCCUCCAAACAGAUGCCCUUGACUCAGUGUCCCCUUCAGGCCAUCCCACACCAGCCACAAGACACGUUCCCAAAACACUGGCCACCCCAGCCUUCCUGCUGUGUCCCCUCAGUCUCCGUAGCCCCUGACUCUACUGCCCAGCGUGAUUGCCCCAUUUGCUGGGUUUGUGCUCUCUCCCAGUCACCUCUCCAAGCAUCCCUGUUCUGUGCAGCACACACUCACGAGCUCCCGCCCAGGCCCAGCUCCCCGAAGGCAGGAAGGCUUCUCAGGGCCCCAGCCCUCCUCAGCUCCUCCCCUGCACUCCUGCAGGCCCCGAGCUGGGAGCACCGCCUGCUGACAGGGGCUGGAGGGGGUCCUACAAUUAAAUACUUAAGACAAGGCAACCGACCUAAGCCAUGGCUGAGAACACUCGCCAGCUCUUUUCCCUUUCCUGUCCCUCCCCCAACUCUGACCUUUUUCUCUCCAAUUCCUAAACACAAUCACACACAGUGCUUACCAAGCAUUUUAGCGAGGAAGGGAGGGAGGGAGAGGAGAAGGGUAGAAAGGAAGAAAUAAGGAUCACAUCCCACAUGUGUCUGUUACUUCCCUCUGCAGACCCCUCCUCUCACCUGCAUAGCUCUUGCAGGUUUGUGUUCCAUCUCCACCACUCCGAAGCUGUGUGACCUUGGAUAAAUCACUCCACCUCUCUGCUCCUGUCUCCUCAUUGUUAAGUAGAGGGAACACUGUCACCCUGUCCACCUCUUGAGACUAUGGGGAGGAUUAACAAGAGAAUGAGGGGCAAUGUGUUGGAAACUGUAAAGGGCUGUCCACUUUGCAGGAGACUUAAUAGUCACUGUGUUCCUGGGGCCCUGCGAUCAAGGCGGAGAAUAAAAAGGAAGCAAAAAUCCCCCAGGCCUCUCCCUCUGACCCUUUCUCCGGCAGGGCUGUUCCCAGACCCCUGACCCACUUCUCCUCCCUCCUUCCCCCAUCCCUCCGAGUCUCAGCGGGCCAUUCUCCUCCUCCAUCCAUCACCUGAGACUAAAGAGAUUAAUAAACGAGACUCAUAACUCAGCUGCUGGGAUGCAGCAGAU
This 5025-nucleotide long non-coding RNA is filed under the name Homo sapiens (human). RNAcentral's name for it is "long non-coding RNA NONHSAT171014.1". The record is from RNAcentral. Lineage: Eukaryota; Metazoa; Chordata; Mammalia; Primates; Hominidae.